GGGAUUGUAGCUUAAAGGAUUAGAGCACGUGGUUACUAACCACAGUGUUAGGAGUUCGAAUCCCUCCCUGCCCA
Populus trichocarpa (black cottonwood) is the source of this 74-nucleotide non-coding RNA. NCBI's taxonomy places the organism in Eukaryota, Viridiplantae, Streptophyta, Magnoliopsida, Malpighiales, Salicaceae. The record is from Rfam.